AUACUUACCUGGCAGGGGAGAUACCAUGAUCACGAAGGUGGUUUUCCCAGGGCGAGGCUUAUCCAUUGCACUCGGGAUGUGCUGACCCCUGCGAUUUCCUCAAAUGUGGGAAACUCGACUGCAUAAUUUGUGGUAGUGGGGGACUGCGUUCGCGCUCUCCCCUG
Molecule: small nuclear RNA, 164 nt
Filed under: Prolemur simus (greater bamboo lemur)
Lineage: Eukaryota; Metazoa; Chordata; Mammalia; Primates; Lemuridae
Description: U1 spliceosomal RNA (ENSPSMG00000001990.1)
Rfam family: U1 spliceosomal RNA
About the family: U1 is a small nuclear RNA (snRNA) component of the spliceosome (involved in pre-mRNA splicing). Its 5' end forms complementary base pairs with the 5' splice junction, thus defining the 5' donor site of an intron. There are significant differences in sequence and secondary structure between metazoan and yeast U1 snRNAs, the latter being much longer (568 nucleotides as compared to 164 nucleotides in human).
Source: Rfam by way of RNAcentral